AGAGUUUGAUCCUGGCUCAGAUUGAACGCUGGCGGCAGGCCUAACACAUGCAAGUCGAACGGUAACAUUUCUAGCUUGCUAGAAGAUGACGAGUGGCGGACGGGUGAGUAAUGCUUGGGAACUUGCCUUUGCGAGGGGGAUAACAGUUGGAAACGACUGCUAAUACCGCAUAACGUCUUCGGACCAAACGGGGCUUCGGCUCCGGCGCAAAGAGAGGCCCAAGUGAGAUUAGCUAGUUGGUAAGGUAACGGCUUACCAAGGCGACGAUCUCUAGCUGUUCUGAGAGGAAGAUCAGCCACACUGGGACUGAGACACGGCCCAGACUCCUACGGGAGGCAGCAGUGGGGAAUAUUGCACAAUGGGGGAAACCCUGAUGCAGCCAUGCCGCGUGUGUGAAGAAGGCCUUCGGGUUGUAAAGCACUUUCAGUUGUGAGGAAAAGUUAGUAGCUAAUACCUGCUAGCCGUGACGUUAACAACAGAAGAAGCACCGGCUAACUCCGUGCCAGCAGCCGCGGUAAUACGGAGGGUGCGAGCGUUAAUCGGAAUUACUGGGCGUAAAGCGCACGCAGGCGGUUUGUUAAGCUAGAUGUGAAAGCCCCGGGCUCAACCUGGGAUGGUCAUUUAGAACUGGCAGACUAGAGUCUUGGAGAGGGGAGUGGAAUUCCAGGUGUAGCGGUGAAAUGCGUAGAUAUCUGGAGGAACAUCAGUGGC
RNAcentral lists this ribosomal RNA (711 nucleotides) under uncultured Alteromonas sp. RNAcentral describes it as "bacterial SSU rRNA". It matches the Rfam family "Bacterial small subunit ribosomal RNA", at positions 8 to 716 of the family's 1533-position model. The record is from RNAcentral. Lineage: Bacteria; Pseudomonadati; Pseudomonadota; Gammaproteobacteria; Alteromonadales; Alteromonadaceae.